Small nucleolar RNA from Lotus japonicus, 107 nucleotides. The record is from RefSeq and is a predicted model, not a curated record. NCBI's taxonomy places the organism in Eukaryota, Viridiplantae, Streptophyta, Magnoliopsida, Fabales, Fabaceae.
AGGUUGUGUUGAGGACAUUUCCUCAAGUGCUUCUUGAAACGCUCCCAAGCUUCAUAGAGAUUCUCUUCUGCAGUUUGAGCAAAGGUCAUGAUGUCAUUUUUCAGCUU